CCUACGGGUGGCAGCAGUGGGGAAUAUUGGGCAAUGGACGAAACUCUGACCCAGCAACGCCGCGUGAAUGAUGAAGGUCUUCGGAUUGUAAAGUUCUUUUCUAAGGGAAGAAGAAAGUGACGGUACCUUAGGAAUAAGCCUCGGCUAACUACGUGCAAGCAGCCGCGGUAAUCCGUAGGAGGAGCGCGAUACCUGGAAUGACUGGGCGUAAAGGGUGCGAAGGUGGUUUGAUAAGUUGAGGGCGAAAGCCCGGGGCUCAACGUCGGAACUACAACCGAAACUGGCGGACUGGAGUGAGGGAGAGGAAAGUGGAAUUCCAGGUGUAGGGGUGAAAUGCGUAGAUAUGAGGAGGAACACCAGUGGCGAAGGCGAGUAUCUGGACGAUAACUGACGCUGAGGCACGAAAGCGUGGGGAGCAAACAGGAUUAGAUACCCGUGUAGUC
Molecule: ribosomal RNA, 443 nt
Filed under: uncultured bacterium
Lineage: Bacteria
Description: partial 16S ribosomal RNA
Rfam family: Bacterial small subunit ribosomal RNA
Source: RNAcentral